UUCUGAGCACCUGAGGCUGGUGUGCUGCUGCAAGCUGCAGUUUUCUUCUGCUAUCAGCCUCAGGGAAAUCUGGCCAUCUCUGAAGAAAGUAUGAGCUGGAGCACAGCGCUGGGACUCUCUGUGAAGUAAACUAUGAGAAUCACCAGCCAGGGAAGUCCUUUGGGAUCUAUCAAGACUUCCUAACAGUGUGACAACACUUUAAAGUCGAUAUUGGAGAUUUAAUUCCAGUGACUCCUGAGAGCUUGUCUUUCAGGCAUUUUCCUCAUGUAAAUGCCCAGAUUGAAAGCUUUGUUUCAGGAAUAUGGAUGCUGCCCAAAUGUAUCCGCAUGGUUCCAAUUAAGGGGAGGAAUGUUUAAUGUAAAACUCAACUUGAUGAAAAUAACUGAAGUUUCUGACAAACCAAUAAAUUGGAGUCUAGAAAGCUCUGCGUACACAGUACAGUCAGGGAGGGGCAACACCCGCUGGGUCAUCAAUUUUGGUGAAGACUUCCUGUUCGUUUAUACUAAAAUAAUACUAGGUCAGUCCAUAAACCAGAUGGUAUUUCUUAUUGCACGGGGACAGCAGAGAGAAGAUAAUGCAGAAAGAAAACAGACUGUGUUUGUACUUUCUAUUGUUGAAAUACUAUCAACAAGGUAGGGCCUGCUUGGCUACAGGAAGUGCAGUGGGAAGUGCAAGGACAGAAGAUCCUGUGACAUUGAACCGUACAAAGCCAACAUAAAAAAUCAUCAACAAUAUCCUUUCCUCCAGUGAUGAGCUGGAAAUAAGUUUCUGCACU
Molecule: long non-coding RNA, 775 nt
Filed under: Coturnix japonica (Japanese quail)
Lineage: Eukaryota; Metazoa; Chordata; Aves; Galliformes; Phasianidae
Description: lncRNA (ENSCJPG00005008895.1)
Source: RNAcentral